AUUUCUAUCGCUUUCGUAAUCUAUACUAGUUUAUCCUAUGCAAUAUUUUGUACUGACGUCCGCUUCGCUUUUCGUGACUUUUCAAUUAGAAAGUAAUUUAUGUAUUUAGUGUAAUCUAGAAAUUUAGAAGCUUUUGAAUUUUCUGAACGUUUUGUGCAUGUUCCUACUUCAAUUAGAGAACGCCCGGUUUCUAAGAAAUACUUUUUGUGAUUGAUUUUCCAGUUAAAUACAUAUAUAGACUAUAACUAAAAACUGGGGAAUAUAUAUUUAAUAACUAUACAAGAAACUACUGAAAGUCAAGCUUUAACGAUUUAACUAUUGUUUGUAACUAGGACAGUUUGACAAUGAGCCAAAUGUGUGUUGAAAAGUAUUUCUAAUAACUUUUGUGGUUGAUAUUCUAGGUAAACGCACAUAUAGACUAUAACUAAAAACUGAGGGAUAUAUAUUUAAUAAUUAUAAAGGAAACUAGUCAAUGUUUAUAGUCAAGCUUUAAUAAUUCCGUGCAGCACGGAAUUUUGUCAGUGAACAGGUCGCGGUCUCAAAGCGACGAAAAUAUUUUGCCAAAUUAAAUAUAAAUGUUGAAGUGAAUCUAACGAGUUCUGUGUUUUUAAAUUGCUUAUAAACACCUUCCACGCUGCAAUAUUAAAGUUGAAAAUGGAAAAUUUCAGCAAGCAUGGAACAUGAUAUUCCGACGGCAGUAAUUCUUGUAGCAUUCAAGGAAAGACCCGACCGAAAUGGUUAUAUAUGACCAAAUGUGACCGAAGGUGUUAUGACUUCCCCACUGUAGCUAUGAUUUUUAGGAAUACAAAC
Long non-coding RNA from Octopus bimaculoides (California two-spot octopus), 810 nucleotides. The record is from RefSeq and is a predicted model, not a curated record. Lineage: Eukaryota; Metazoa; Mollusca; Cephalopoda; Octopoda; Octopodidae.